This is a long non-coding RNA of Pipistrellus kuhlii (Kuhl's pipistrelle), 2118 nucleotides long. RefSeq lists it as uncharacterized. Lineage: Eukaryota; Metazoa; Chordata; Mammalia; Chiroptera; Vespertilionidae. The record is from RefSeq and is a predicted model, not a curated record. The transcript has 2 exons.
CCACAGCAGAGAGAAACUGGCCUGGGCUGAGUGCUUCUGCGACCCAUGUUGUUUGCCCCUACAUGCUUCUACUCCUCCCUUCCCUCGCCUCUGCCCCUCUUCGGCAGAGAACUGCUGCUCUAGAAUGCUCUCGUGUGAGGGCCUCCUGAGGAGACAGGGUUCUUAUGUGGCAACAUGGCGCCUUUGAAAUCUGCCCUCUGAGGAAACAAGAGCUACAUUUCCGCAGAUGGAAAAUGCACAGAGAGAAGCAGAACAAACUCAAGGUAAAAUGAUAGGGCUUUCCUGUGUGUGUUUUUAAGACGAAUCCUUUGCUCCCUCACAUAUGGAAUAGGAAUAUAAAAUUCUAAAAGCUAGAGUUAUAUCUCACUCAACAGUUGCCCCAGAAAGUAUUCUUAUUUUUCAUUAAUGUAUUCGGAUAUGAUUUCAGUCCCAGUGACCAACUUUUUCCUCCAAGUACCUGCUUUAAGAUAGGAAGUAAAAAUAGUAAUUACUACUAACUCCUUUCUUUCAUCAACAAGAGGACACAGAUCAAAAAAAUAUUUUAGUAAGGUCACUGAAUUAUUUCUGUUUAGCUUGAUAUGGUAAUCUAGCAAGUAGAUUAAAAAAAAAAUUCAAGAGUAUUUUCUCAACUACAGAAACAUAAUCUCUCUCUUAAUGAAAUCAUAUACUAUGAACUAUGGAAAUGAGAGAAUUGUCAACAAGUAAUUUUGGUUAAUUGACUUAACAAGGUGGAAGUAGGCCAUACUUAAAAAAAUCCCCAAAUAUGGAACAUAUUAGAGAGGGGGAAAAAACACCUUGAUUUAAGAAAUAAUUCAUAUAGAAAGUGUACGCUAACAGAACAGAUUUCAAGAAAACAACUUUAAUAACCUAAAGAUGAGUUUCAUGAGAAUAUGGACACUAAUGUAAAUGGGAAAACAUAGAUGCUAAGGUCGUAUGCAAAAUGUGUACAUACAGAAAAGUGUCAUUUGGUGAAAAUUAGGAAAUAUUUCCCUAAUCCUUAAGUUUCACUGUCAGCAGAGGAAAGAACAUACCUUUCCAUACCUCUUGAAAAUCAACUGAGGAAAUAUGUGAAUUUUGAUUAAAUAGUAAGAGAGGUAAUGAAAUAUGGAUUUGUUGGGUUUUGUGCUUGGUUAUACAAUAACUUAUGUAAUCAAGGGUAAGUCACAAUCUCAAUGAGAGACAUAUCUUAGAAGUGAGAGGAUUGGGCCCGAAUCAUGGCUAAGGUUCCUUGAAGCAUUUCUCAAAAAAUACUUUGAAUAGGAUAAGUGUAUAUAGUCAUAGUACCAUAUAGGACCAUUCUACCCUAUCUCUUCUACAUGCAUUCUGAAAGUGCACAAACAUUUUUAGAUUGCCAGAGAAUCUUUGGCAGAUUGUGAAAAUUAGUUCACUAAAAAGGUACCCUUAGUGAUUUUGGGACAUAAGGGUGGAAAAAGCAUUUCUAGACAAUUGUAACCUAGGUCCAAGAAAUAAUUUCAUGGUGACAAGUUUACCUUACAAAAUUGUUUUAGUGAUUUAGUGGUUAGACCAAGCUUGCAUUCAGAAAAAGGUCAUUUGGGGAGGUCCCUGUAAAAGACUUCAAAAACUCACAAACUUUGACUCUUUGUCAGAUCACUUUGUUCAUAUUUUAAAUGAUAUACGACAAAUCAAUCAGAAUGUUAGCUACAGCUAGACAGUCUAAUUACCGGAUUACAUGUUUAACAUGACUGGUACAACCAACAAAUCAUGUAUGAGAGUCCAAUGUUUGUAAGAGAAAUCUAGGCUGCUAAUUCUGCCACUCGUUUCUCUCUAGAUGGCCCUUAGGAAAAGAGACCUACCGGUUGUGAACCUUCUAACACAGAAGGUCCUUAGGCAAGUGAGCAUUGGUUUCCUCUCCUUCCCACCCACUCUUCACUAGCAUCAGUUCCUUCUUUCGCUUUCACAUGUUAUUGCUCUCUCACAGGCAAAGACCAAUUCAGAAAGAUCACUGCCAUCUACAUAAAUCAAAGCUCUAAUGAUCUAAAGAGGGAUGUGAAAUGAGAAGAAAAGCAGAAAAGGAAAGGAGCUGGUUGAAGGCUAACCUGUCCUGUCAUUUAUGUAUGCACAUGAUACGACAGUAAUAAAAGACUUUAAACCUGCUGA